UUCAUUCCAGAAUUCACAAACUCGAAAUGUAUUUUUAUCAAUUCAUAAGAGCUUAUAAAACAUAUCUUUUUCUUCCUCUCCCAUGCUUUCUACCAUUUUUCUGCAUUUCAUCUUCUCUAGUUAAUCAAGUCUUUUCUGCCUCUCGAUUUGUGCGAGUACUUGCCUUUUUUUCCUGCCUGUAACUCCGUUUCUUCGUAAGGUUGUCUGCAUCUGUCACUAGUAAGUGCUUCACUCAUUUUAUUCUUCUCCUUUUGCGUUCCUUUUUCUUUUAUUUCCAUGGAGUUGUCUUAUCCUUCUUCUCAAAAUCUAAUUUCUAUGUGUAUUGACGGGACGAGUUUGUCCAAACUCAUUUCUAGAAUCCUUCUACUGACUUUGUCAAUAAGGAGAGGCCCUCCUCUCAGUUGGAAGAGGUUGAGGACCCUGAUUCCUCUUUCGAAGAUGGUGAGAAUGACCACCAUCUCUAUCCCUCAAAAAUGACCCUGACCCAACUUAGAUACGUCCAAGCUCGGUAUAAAAUCGUGACCUCUUAUACUUUAAAAGAGGUGCCUAAGGAUUUCUUAGGUAAUAAUGUUCAAGCUCGGUAUAAAAUCGUGACCUCUUAUACUUUAAAAGAGGUGCUUAAGGAUUUCUUAGGUAAUAAUGUUUUCGAGUCCAAGCAUAUAGUAUUAUAUGAGGAGAAUCCUAAAGCAGGCCUUAGAGUUUUUAUAUAAUUGCUUAAAAGAAACGAGAAGACGAAUAGAGUUCAAGUGGAGUUGUGCAAUAGACACGUUCAUGUCAAGACUUAUCGACAGAUUUGCAACGGACAACUGACAGAAGUUUACCAUCAGCAAGAAUUCAUUGAUAAAUUUCGCAGCAAAAAUUGGCGGCAGGUACACCGACGGAUUAAGGACGGUUCAUCGACUACUAUUACCGACGGUUUUCUUAACUUGUCGGUAAAUUAUGGCGCGAAUUUGUCACAAAAAAUAGAGACAACUUUGAAUUAUUCAGCAACGGCUGAGGGGAGUCGCUAAUUUAUCAGUAGAAUAAUCUGUCCGUAAAUUGCUUACACGAAAUGUAGCGUUACAGGCAAGCAAUUUACCGGCAGAUUAUUAUGUCGGUAACUGUAAAGACACUAUAACACUGCGUUUUGUUUAAGCAAUUUAUUGAUGGAUUAUUUUAUUGGUAAUCCAUCAGUAAAUAAAUUAAUUGAAACGCAACAUUUCCAUGGUCCCUUACAUUUGAGGAGUUAACCUAACUCCUCAAGCAACAGUAGUUGCCCCUCCCCUCUCUCCUUCUUCACUCUCACCCCUCCCUUGUGCCACCACCCUCAUGUGCCGCCACUGCCGUCAUCCUUGUUGAAGAGAGAAAUUUAUUGUGUAAUGUCGGGCAUUUGGUGGCUCAAGGAGUAUUGAAGGCGCAACCUUUUUAUUUUAUUUAAAUAUAUUAGAAGUGUGUAAUAUAUUAUUAUAGAAAAUGGACUCAUUUUACAAGUGGUAGAUGUUCUUUUUA
Long non-coding RNA from Ricinus communis (castor bean), 1488 nucleotides. RefSeq lists it as uncharacterized. The record is from RefSeq and is a predicted model, not a curated record. Lineage: Eukaryota; Viridiplantae; Streptophyta; Magnoliopsida; Malpighiales; Euphorbiaceae. The transcript is spliced from 2 exons.